RNAcentral lists this ribosomal RNA (465 nucleotides) under uncultured bacterium. RNAcentral describes it as "bacterial SSU rRNA". It matches the Rfam family "Bacterial small subunit ribosomal RNA", at positions 917 to 1382 of the family's 1533-position model. The record is from RNAcentral.
GGGCCCGCACAAGCAGCGGAGCAUGUUGUUUAAUUCGAUGCAACGCGAAGAACCUUACCAGGUCUUGACAUUGAUGUAAACCACCAGAGAUGGUGGGUCCCUUCGGGGGACUGAAAACAGGUGGUGCAUGGUUGUCGUCAGCUCGUGUCGUGAGAUGUUGGGUUAAGUCCCGCAACGAGCGCAACCCUUAUGAUCAGUUACUAACGGGUGAAGCCGAGGACUCUGAUGAGACUGCCGGGGACAACUCGGAGGAAGGUGGGGACGACGUCAAAUCAUCAUGCCCCUUAUGACCUGGGCUACAAACGUGCUACAAUGGCGACUACAAAGAGGAGCGAGCCCGUGAGGGUGAGCGGAUCUCAAAAAAGUCGUCCCAGUUCGGAUUGUGGGCUGCAACCCGCCCACAUGAAGUUGGAGUUGCUAGUAAUCGCGGAUCAGCAUGCCGCGGUGAAUACGUUCCCGGGCCUU